AACGUAAGUGGGUGGGCACCUACGUAAGGGAGACGUGCCGGGUGACAAACCGGAGGAAGGUGGGGAUGACGUCAAGUCAUCAUGGCCCUUACGGCCUGGGCUACACACGUGCUACAAUGGUCGGUACAAAGGGUUGCCAAGCCGCGAGGUGGAGCUAAUCCCAUAAACCGAUCGUAGUCCGGAUCGCAGUCUGCAACUCGACUGCGUGAAGUCGGAAUCGCUAGUAAUCGUGAAUCAGAAUGUCACGGUGAAUACGUUCCCGGGCCUU
Molecule: ribosomal RNA, 268 nt
Filed under: uncultured Pseudomonas sp.
Lineage: Bacteria; Pseudomonadati; Pseudomonadota; Gammaproteobacteria; Pseudomonadales; Pseudomonadaceae
Description: partial 16S ribosomal RNA
Rfam family: Bacterial small subunit ribosomal RNA
Source: RNAcentral